UUUAAUUUUAUGCAUAGGAUUAGUCUCUUCAUCUUCUCCCCAUUUCUUUAAUUUCAAAAUCUCUCCCUCCUUUUAAAACUUUCUUUGUUUGAACUUAUUUUGUUCUAAACUUUGACCACUUUGUAAAAAGAUAGAAACUUUGGCCUUAUGCCAUUGCAUUUCCAAACUUCUUUUCUUAAAUCAAAUUUGUAAGUAAACUUAACUAUACUUGACUCAAAACUUUCAAAAAUCCAAAAGAACUAACCCAUUCAAACCAUUUUUGGGCCUUUGUGCCUUUCAAACUUAAUUUUUGUUAAAAGCAAUGCAUCCACUUUGAAAUUUGUAUCAUAAACUACGAGGUUUUGAUCCCUCAUUUUUAUGUUUGUACAUAGGCACAAGUCCGAAGGUCUUGUCAAACACAAAAAUAUAAUU
RNAcentral lists this long non-coding RNA (411 nucleotides) under Lathyrus oleraceus (garden pea). RNAcentral describes it as "Pisum sativum (pea) long non-coding RNA (PSAT_LNC027487)". Lineage: Eukaryota; Viridiplantae; Streptophyta; Magnoliopsida; Fabales; Fabaceae. The record is from RNAcentral.